RNAcentral lists this ribosomal RNA (541 nucleotides) under Frondihabitans sp. RNAcentral describes it as "bacterial SSU rRNA". It matches the Rfam family "Bacterial small subunit ribosomal RNA", at positions 653 to 1204 of the family's 1533-position model. Lineage: Bacteria; Bacillati; Actinomycetota; Actinomycetes; Micrococcales; Microbacteriaceae. The record is from RNAcentral.
UAGGGAGAUUGAAUUCCUGGGUAGCGGUGAAUGGCAGAAUCAGGAGGACCCCGAUGGCGAAGCAGAUCUCUGGCCGUAACUGACGCUGGGAGCGAAGGCAUGGGAGCGAACAGGAUUAGAUACCCUGGUAGUCCAUGCCGUAACGUUGGGGAACUAGAUGUAGGGGCCAUUCCACGGUUUUUGUGUCGCAGCUAACGCAUUAAGUUCCCCGCCUGGGGAGUACGGCCGCAAGGCUAAAACUCAAAGGAAUUGACGGGGGCCCGCACAAGCGGCGGAGCAUGCGGAUUAAUUCGAUGCAACGCGAAGAACCUUACCAAGGCUUGACAUAUACCGGAAACGUCCAGAGAUGGUCGCCCCGCAAGGUCGGUAUACAGGUGGUGCAUGGUUGUCGUCAGCUCGUGUCGUGAGAUGUUGGGUUAAGUCCCGCAACGAGCGCAACCCUCGUUCUAUGUUGCCAGCACGUUAUGGUGGGAACUCAUAGGAGACUGCCGGGGUCAACUCGGAGGAAGGUGGGGAUGACGUCAAAUCAUCAUGCCCCUUA